Molecule: ribosomal RNA, 468 nt
Filed under: uncultured bacterium
Lineage: Bacteria
Description: partial 16S ribosomal RNA
Rfam family: Bacterial small subunit ribosomal RNA
Source: RNAcentral
GACGAACGCUGGCGGCGUGCUUAACACAUGCAAGUCGAACGGAAAGGCCCUGCUUUUGUGGGGUGCUCGAGUGGCGAACGGGUGAGUAACACGUGAGUAACCUGCCCUUGACUUUGGGAUAACUUCAGGAAACUGGGGCUAAUACCGGAUAGGAGCUCCUGCUGCAUGGUGGGGGUUGGAAAGUUUCGGCGGUUGGGGAUGGACUCGCGGCUUAUCAGCUUGUUGGUGGGGUAGUGGCUUACCAAGGCUUUGACGGGUAGCCGGCCUGAGAGGGUGACCGGCCACAUUGGGACUGAGAUACGGCCCAGACUCCUACGGGAGGCAGCAGUGGGGAAUAUUGCACAAUGGGCGGAAGCCUGAUGCAGCAACGCCGCGUGCGGGAUGACGACCUUCUGGUUGUAAACCGCUUUCGCCUGUAACGAAGCGUGAGUGACGGUAAUGGGUAAAUAAGCACCGGCUAACUACGUG